CAAACCUUUUAUCACCCAUUGUAAGUUUGAUGUCAUCGUGAUGAAUGAAACUCAGAAUGAUUACUCACGAAAUAUGAAAGAAAAACCAAAGGAGGAUUUGACACCAUUUUUGGAUUCACCAAUGCCAGGCACAGUGAUCUCAGUUACAUGAGAACCAGGACAAGAGGUAGCUGAAGGUCAAGAGGUCUGUGUUGUUGAA
Xenia sp. Carnegie-2017 is the source of this 199-nucleotide long non-coding RNA. RefSeq lists it as uncharacterized. The transcript is spliced from 3 exons. NCBI's taxonomy places the organism in Eukaryota, Metazoa, Cnidaria, Anthozoa, Malacalcyonacea, Xeniidae. The record is from RefSeq and is a predicted model, not a curated record.